Molecule: ribosomal RNA, 429 nt
Filed under: Actinomycetes bacterium
Lineage: Bacteria; Bacillati; Actinomycetota; Actinomycetes
Description: Actinobacteria bacterium partial 16S ribosomal RNA
Rfam family: Bacterial small subunit ribosomal RNA
Source: RNAcentral
UAGGGAAUCUUCCGCAAUGGGCGAAAGCCUGACGGAGCAACGCCGCGUGAGUGAUGAAGGUCUUCGGUUCGUAAAACUCUGUUAUUAGGGAAGAACAAAUGUGUAAGUAACUAUGCACGUCUUGACGGUACCUAGUCAGAAAGCCACGGCUAACUACGUGCCAGCAGCCGCGGUAAUACGUAGGUGGCAAGCGUUAUCCGGAAUUAUUGGGCGUAAAGCGCGCGUAGGCGGUUUUUUAAGUCUGAUGUGAAAGCCCACGGCUCAACCGUGGAGGGUCAUUGGAAACUGGAAAACGUGAGUGCAGAAGAGGAAAGUGGAAUUCCAUGUGUAGCGGUGAAAUGCGCAGAGAUAUGGAGGAACACCAGUGGCGAAGGCGACUUUCUGGUCUGUAACUGACGCUGAUGUGCGAAAGCGUGGGGAUCAAACAGG